Lolium perenne is the source of this 1783-nucleotide non-coding RNA. The record is from RefSeq and is a predicted model, not a curated record. Lineage: Eukaryota; Viridiplantae; Streptophyta; Magnoliopsida; Poales; Poaceae.
UGGUCGUCCGAUCGGUGCUGGACAGUAAAUUUUGCCUCCCGCAGCGAUUGACCACCGUCCAUUUUACCUCUUCCUCGUUCACGUUAGCGCUGUGCUGAGAAGUCUAUGACAUUUGGGGUCUUCUUUGAGUGGGGUCGCGUGGCAGAGGCAAGAGGGCUCGUGCUGUGAGUCUGUCAUUUCUCUUGCCUAAGCUGAAAACCUAGACACCACGAUUGGCUCCGCUUCCUCCUGUCUUCCCCAAUCCGCCGCAUUCUCUCCUCCUCCCAUUUUGCCCAACUCAGGUCGCCCAGGAGGUCGGAGCACAGUGGACCGCGCAUCGACCUCGCCGCUCCUCUUCCGAGCGUUGGAGAAGCAUGGUCGGGAGGCAGCGCGGGCGCCGCCGCCUCGUGCCUCGCUCGGGCCGCUGCGUAGAGCGCCAGGAGGCCAUGGUAGCCACCGGUCGCGGGCAUCAGGCCGUGGCCGCAUCAGCCGCCGCCCCAGCGGUCUUCUCUCUCUCCCCACAGGGUGGUCGCCCUCUCUAGUGCGUCGGAGCGCCGGAUCGGUCGAUGUGAAUCAAUGGUGAGCCAAGGUGAGCGAAUCUUUCCACGCCGGCUACGUCCUCCUCCUCCUACAUCUACAGCGACGCCGCUAGGGUUGGGUGUCCCUUCUUCUUGUCCUCUACGACCUUGGGUUGCAAGGAGCCAACCCGGGGAGGACUCGAGGCUCAGUGGCGUUCCUUACGGCCGUCCGGGAUCCCCUCUCCUUCUUCUUUUAAUCCAUCUGGUUGAGUUUGUUUUCCACUUUUAGCCAUUGAACAAUCUUUGCUGCUGGAGAUGAGAUCCAUAUCUAAUUGAAAGAUAUUUGCUGCUGGAGAUGAGAUCCACAUCUAAUUGAACGAUCUUUUGCUGCAGGAGAUGAGAUCCACAUCUAAUUUUAUAGAAAUCACGGUUCGAGCUGCUGCGGAAAGGUCUCAACUCAGCUGCGCUUCUUCCUUGCUCAGGCGUUUGUUGAUUUCUCUGAAUAUUGGUUGGACAUUGCCCAUGUAGCACUCACCCAAGUGUGUACUAUGCUAAUAUCUACCACGACAUGACGGGCGGGAGUCCCGGAAGAGGGUGACGGAUGGCCACGAUGGCUCGCAGCAGGACGACGAUGCAUGAGGGCGCACGGAGCAGGGUGGCGCUCGCCUUGAGGAGCUCGUCCAUGAUCCAAUACCCAGACGAUGGAAAGGUCUAUGCAUGGUCUUUUUGGUCAUGUCGAACCCUUCUGUUGGAUAUGGAGGACGACAAGCAACUAUCUUCUUGGCCUUCUUGUGGUUUAUUGAAUAGCAGCGUCACUGCAUCGAGUGACCGCCAUUACCUCCGUCAUGAACUUGGAUUGGCAGCUGGUCAUACUCUAUUUGAGUUCAAAUAUUCUGCUUAUGAUGCAGUGAGAUAAUAUGCCAGGUACCCUUCCUGUCGCCGCUGCGCCAGAAUGACACUACCUCCACCAAGCAGCAAGUCAUGCAUGUGCGUGCAGUUCACACGCAAGAAAUUCCAACCAGUGAGUAUGAAGCUUUAGAUUUCAGACACCCAGUUGCUACUACUAUCUAGAGGUUUUGCAUAUGCAUGCAGUUCACAUGCAAGAAAUUCCAACCGGCAGUACCUGGAAGUGUUCUGGCAGCUGUGAAUCGACUGUGAGGUCUUCCUUAGGUACCCCUGCAUUACUACCUUAUCAACUGGUGUUAGGUCAUGUUCAGAAACUCUCUGAGCCACUACAGUUUGGUUAUCCAGGAGAUUCACAGACAUCGACAACAACCAUCUGUAGG